GUCUACGGCCACACCACCCUGCACACGCCUGAUCUCCUCUGAUCUUGGAAGCUAAGCAGGGUCGGGCCUGGUUAGUACUUGGAGGGGAGGAGUGAGCAAACAUGCAAAGCAGAGU
This 115-nucleotide ribosomal RNA is filed under the name Prolemur simus (greater bamboo lemur). Lineage: Eukaryota; Metazoa; Chordata; Mammalia; Primates; Lemuridae. The record is from RNAcentral.